GACGAACGCUGGCGGCGUGCUUAACACAUGCAAGUCGAACGGAAAGGCCCUGCUUUUGUGGGGUGCUCGAUUGGCGAACGGGUGAGUAACACGUGAGUAACCUGCCCUUGACUUUGGGAUAACUUCAGGAAACUGGGGCUAAUACCGGAUAGGAGCUCCUGCUGCAUGGUGGGGGUUGGAAAGUUUCGGCGGUUGGGGAUGGACUCGCGGCUUAUCAGCUUGUUGGUGGGGUAGUGGAUUACCAAGGCUUUGACGGGUAGCCGGCCUGAGAGGGUGACCGGCCACAUUGGGACUGAGAGACGGCGCAGACUCGUACGGGAGGCAGCAGUGGGGAGUAUUGCACAAUGGGAGGACGCCUGAUGCAGCAGCGCCGCGUGCGGGAUGACGGCCUUCGGGUUGUAAACCGCUUUCGCCUGUGACGAAGCGUGAGUGACGGUAAUGAGUAAAGAAGCACCGGCUAACUACGUG
RNAcentral lists this ribosomal RNA (468 nucleotides) under uncultured bacterium. RNAcentral's name for it is "partial 16S ribosomal RNA". It matches the Rfam family "Bacterial small subunit ribosomal RNA", at positions 28 to 507 of the family's 1533-position model. The record is from RNAcentral.